RNAcentral lists this long non-coding RNA (375 nucleotides) under Meriones unguiculatus (Mongolian gerbil). Its description in RNAcentral is "lncRNA (ENSMUGG00000022418.1)". Lineage: Eukaryota; Metazoa; Chordata; Mammalia; Rodentia; Muridae. The record is from RNAcentral.
CGGGCUGGGGCCGUGAAGCACUGAGGAGGAUCAGGAACACGGUGUCCGGCCCUGCCUGGGGUGUUUCGUCAAUGGAGAAGUUGGUGAAUGUGGAGGAGGCUGAAAGGAGGGAGAGGAGCUGCAGCUUGAGGAGACAGGUUUGAGCUGGCUGGAGGCUACUCGCGAGCAGAAGGGGGUCUGGCCACCCACCACAGAAGCAAUAAACGGACCAGCAUCCUCUCUAAAGGUGAAGAAGGCUACUGCUCUCGGGUCUGGACACACUGGGAGCCCCUUUCCCACGAUGCUGCACAUACACAAUGGUUAUUAGAUGACCUUUCUACCGAGAAGAGGCAUUCUUCUGGAAGGCUGGCUCCUGUUACCUAAUGUCUGGUUGGU